Oncorhynchus keta (chum salmon) is the source of this 642-nucleotide long non-coding RNA. RefSeq lists it as uncharacterized. The transcript is spliced from 4 exons. The record is from RefSeq and is a predicted model, not a curated record. NCBI's taxonomy places the organism in Eukaryota, Metazoa, Chordata, Actinopteri, Salmoniformes, Salmonidae.
GUUAGCUAGGUAAUGCUCUGUUCAGCUGUAGUGGGACUAGGGCAAAGCAGUUAGCUAGGUUACUGCUCUGUUCAGCUGUAGUGGGACUAGGGCAAAGCAGUUAGCUAGGUUACUGCUCUGUUCAGCUGUAGUGGGACUAGGGCAGAGCAGUUAGCUAGGUAAUGCUCUGUUCAGCUGUAGUGGGACUAGGGCAGAGCAGUUAGCUAGGUUACUGCUCUGUUCAGCUGUAGUGGGACUAGGGCAAAGCAGUUAGCUAGGUUACUGCUCUGUUCAGCUGUAGUGGGACUAGGGCAAAGCAGUUAGCUAGGUAAUGCUCUGUUCAGCUGUAGUGGGACUAGGGCAAAGCAGUUAGCUAGGUUACUGCUCUGUUCAGCUGUAGUGGGACUAGGGCAAAGCAGUUGGCUAGGUUACUGCUCUGUUCAGCUGUCGUGGGACUAGGGCAAAGCAGUUAGCUAGGUUACUGCUCUGUUCAGCUGUAGUGGGACUAGGGCAGAGCAGUUAGCUAGGUUACUGCUCUGUUCAGCUGUAGUGGGACUAGGGCAGAGCAGUUAGCUAGGUUACUGCUCUGUUCAGCUGUAGUGGGACUAGGGCAAAGCAGUUAGCUAGGUUACUGCUCUGUUCAGCUGUCGUGGGACUAGGGCA